Molecule: ribosomal RNA, 938 nt
Filed under: uncultured bacterium
Lineage: Bacteria
Description: bacterial SSU rRNA
Rfam family: Bacterial small subunit ribosomal RNA
Source: RNAcentral
GAUAUCGGAGUUACUGGGCGUAAGCGUGCGUAGGCGGGUCGGUAAGUGGGUGGUGAAAGCGCCGGGCUAAACCGGGCGAGGUCCAUUCAGACUGCCAACCUAGAGGCGGAUAGAGGGGUGCGGAAUUCCGGGUGUAGCGGUGAAAUGUGUAGAGAUCCGGAGGAACACCAGUGGUGCAAACGGCGCCCUGGGUCCGAACUGACGCUGAGGCACGAAAGCGUGGGGAGCGAACGGGAUUAGAGACCCCGGUAGUCCACGCCGUAAACGAUGUCAACUAGGUGUCCACUUGGCUACGGUCAAGGGGGUGCCGAAGCUAACGCAAUAAGUUGACCGCCUGGGGAGUACGGUCGCAAGGCUAAAACUCAAAGGAAUUGACGGGGCCCGCACAAGCAGCGGAGCGUGUGGUUUAAUUCGAGGCUACACGAAGAACCUUACCUGGGUUUGACAUCACGGUGGUAGGGAACUGAAAAGGGACCGACCUUCGGGAGCCGUGACAGGUGCUGCAUGGCUGUCCUCAGCUCGUGUCGUGAGAUGUUCGGUUAAGUCCGAAAACGAGCGCAACCCUCGGGUCUAGUUACAUGUGUCUAGACCGACUGCCCGGGAGAACCGGGAGGAAGGUGGGGAUGACGUCAAGUCAGCAUGGCCUUUAUAUCCAGGGCUACACACACGCUACAAUGGGCGGUACAACAGGUUGCGAAGCCGCGAGGUGGAGCCAAUCCCAUAAAGCCGUUCGUAGUUCGGAUUGCAGCUGCAACUCGCCUGCAUGAAGCCGGAGUUGCUAGUAACCGCAGUCAGCCAUACUGCGGUGAAUACGUUCUCGGGCCUUGUACACACCGCCCGUCACGUCAUGGGAGCUGGUCACGCCUGAAGUCGGUCAGUUAACCGCAAGAGACACCGCCGAAGCAGCUGGUGACUGGGACGAGUCGUACAAGUACUCG